GAUGAACGCUGGCGGCGUGCCUAACACAUGCAAGUCGAGCGAUCUUCUUCGGAAGAGAGCGGCGGACGGGUGAGUAACGCGUGGGUAACCUGCCUCAUACACAUGGAUAACAUACCGAAAGGUAUGCUAAUACAAGAUGAUAUAAGAGAUUCGCAUGGAUUUCUUAUCAAAGCUCCGGCGGUAUGAGAUGGACCCGCGUCUGAUUAGCUAGUUGGUAAGGUAAUGGCUUACCAAGGCUUCGAUCAGUAGCCGACCUGAGAGGGUGAUCGGCCACAUUGGAACUGAGACACGGUCCAAACUCCUACGGGAGGCUG
Molecule: ribosomal RNA, 314 nt
Filed under: uncultured Bacillota bacterium
Lineage: Bacteria; Bacillati; Bacillota
Description: bacterial SSU rRNA
Rfam family: Bacterial small subunit ribosomal RNA
Source: RNAcentral